GAUGAACGCUGGCGGCGUGCCUAAUACAUGCAAGUCGAGCGAACAGACGAGGAGCUUGCUCCUCUGACGUUAGCGGCGGACGGGUGAGUAACACGUGGAUAACCUACCUAUAAGACUGGGAUAACUUCGGGAAACCGGAGCUAAUACCGGAUAAUAUAUUGAACCGCAUGGUUCAAUAGUGAAAGACGGUUUUGCUGUCACUUAUAGAUGGAUCCGCGCCGCAUUAGCUAGUUGGUAAGGUAACGGCUUACCAAGGCAACGAUGCGUAGCCGACCUGAGAGGGUGAUCGGCCACACUGGAACUGAGACACGGUCCAGACUCCUACGGGAGGCAGCAGUAGGGAAUUUUGCGCAAUGGGCGAAAGCUUGACGGAGCAACGCCGCGUGAGUGAUGAAGGUCUUCGGAUCGUAAAGCUCUGUUAUUAGGGAAGAACAAAUGUGUAAGUAACUAUGCACGUCUUGACGGUACCUAAUCAGAAAGCCACGGCUAACUACGUG
Molecule: ribosomal RNA, 497 nt
Filed under: uncultured bacterium
Lineage: Bacteria
Description: partial 16S ribosomal RNA
Rfam family: Bacterial small subunit ribosomal RNA
Source: RNAcentral